RNAcentral lists this ribosomal RNA (401 nucleotides) under uncultured bacterium. RNAcentral describes it as "bacterial SSU rRNA". It matches the Rfam family "Bacterial small subunit ribosomal RNA", at positions 355 to 773 of the family's 1533-position model. The record is from RNAcentral.
UCGGGAAUUUUGGGCAAUGGGCGAAAGCCUGACCCAGCAACGCCGCGUGAGGGAUGAAGUAUUUCGGUAUGUAAACCUCGAAAGAAUGGGAAGAAUAAAUGACGGUACCAUUUAUAAGCUCCGGCUAACUACGUGCCAGCAGCCGCGGUAAUACGUAGGGAGCAAGCGUUGUUCGGAUUUACUGGGCGUAAAGGGCGCGUAGGCGGCGCGGUAAGUCACUUGUGAAAUCUCUGAGCUUAACUCAGAACGGCCAAGUGAUACUGCUGUGCUAGAGUGCGGAAGAGGCAACCGGAAUUCUUGGUGUAGCGGUGAAAUGCGUAGAUAUCAAGAGGAACACCUGAGGCGAAGGCGGGUUGCUGGGCCGACACUGACGCUGAUGCGCGAAAGCCGGGGGAGCAAAC